This is a long non-coding RNA of Anguilla rostrata (American eel), 946 nucleotides long. RefSeq lists it as uncharacterized. NCBI's taxonomy places the organism in Eukaryota, Metazoa, Chordata, Actinopteri, Anguilliformes, Anguillidae. The transcript has 3 exons. The record is from RefSeq and is a predicted model, not a curated record.
UUACCCUGGAAAGGUGAAUCAAAAAGGCCGCACAAAAAUAUGAGAAGGAGGACCAUGCAGAGUCAAAGGGACUUCACUAUCCCUGACCUCCUGCAAUUUAAUUUCCACAAAGUAGGUCAACUGAGCACACAUGCUAAUGCCCCCCUCCAUCCCAAUUAGCCCAACCUGCAUGUCUUGGCUGUGGGAGGAAACCAGAGUACCCAGAGGAAACGCACGUGGACACGGGGAGAAAGUGCAAACUCCACACAGCCGGGGUCCAAACUCUGGACCUUCUUGCUGUGAGGCAACAGUGCUAUCUACAGCACCAUCAUGCCGACUGAAAGAUUUGGAAGUUUCAGCUAGAUCAUAAGAAUGAAAUGCAGUUUCAGUGAUUAAGCGGCAAAGCCCAGAAAUGCAGACUGGAACUAACCGCUCAGAUGCAAGUAUGGUACAACUGGUUAACAUUUUAAGAAGUUACAUCAUACUGAAGUGAAGCAUGGCAGCAGUACCUCAGAGUUGUCAAAAGACAGACACCGAAGAGAUUCGAUGGGUGCAAGGAGGAUGAGGUUGUAGCAGCAGAGGGUCAGGAUGAGGUGGCAGAUGAGGAUGAUGAGGAAGAUGAAAUUGAAGAGGAGGACGAACCAUCAUGUUUUGGAUCUGGCGAAGACCAAUGAGCUAACAUUAUUAGCAUACUAGCUGCUCGCCACAAGUAGAAAGACAAAAAAUGAGCAUAUGACAGUUCUUUAUUUAAUCACUGUUAAAAUGUUGCAUCUAGUCAUUGUUUUCCUGGUCUUUUUAAGGAACUUUUUACUGGAAAUAUCAUUAAAAGAGAUUCCACAGCUGUUCAGACUUGACGUCCAUUGCAUUGGACAUGAAAUAAAAGAAAUAGAGGUGACUUAAAAAAAUUUUUGUUUGAGCAAUGCAUUUCUACAUGUAAUAUGAGUUUCCAUGGCUGGAAAAAAUUCAG